This 153-nucleotide ribosomal RNA is filed under the name Cetrariella fastigiata. RNAcentral's name for it is "5.8S ribosomal RNA". It matches the Rfam family "5.8S ribosomal RNA". Rfam says of the family: 5.8S ribosomal RNA (5.8S rRNA) is a component of the large subunit of the eukaryotic ribosome. It is transcribed by RNA polymerase I as part of the 45S precursor that also contains 18S and 28S rRNA. The record is from RNAcentral. RNAcentral also lists the same sequence under 1 other name. Lineage: Eukaryota; Fungi; Ascomycota; Lecanoromycetes; Lecanorales; Parmeliaceae.
CUUUCAACAACGGAUCUCUUGGUUCCAGCAUCGAUGAAGAACGCAGCGAAAUGCGAUAACUAAUGUGAUUGCAGAAUUCAGUGAAUCAUCGAGUCUUUGAACGCACAUUGCGCCCCUCGGUAUUCCGGGGGGCAUGCCUGUUCGAGCGUCAUU